UACAGAGGGGGCAAGCGUUAUUCGGAAUUAUUGGGCGUAAAGGGCGCGUAGGCGGCCUGGCAAGUGGAAGGUGAAAUCCCUCGGCUUAACCGAGGAACUGCCCUCCAAACUGCUUGGCUUGAGUCCGGGAGAGGUGAGUGGAAUUCCCAGUGUAGCGGUGAAAUGCGUAGAUAUCAGGAGGAACACCGGUGGUGUAGACGGCUCACUGGACCGUAACUGACGCUGAGACACGAAAGCGUGGGUAGCAAACAGG
Molecule: ribosomal RNA, 253 nt
Filed under: uncultured bacterium
Lineage: Bacteria
Description: partial 16S ribosomal RNA
Rfam family: Bacterial small subunit ribosomal RNA
Source: RNAcentral